AAUGAACGUUGGCGGCAUGGAUUAGGCAUGCGAGUCGCGCGACAAGUUUCUCUUAGCUUGCUAAGAGAAGCGGAGGAGCGGCGUAAGGGAGAGUAAUGGGUGGAUUAUCUGCCCUCAGGUUCGGGAUAGCUGCGGGAAACUGCAAGUAAUACCGGAUAAUAUCUGCGGAUCAAAGGUGUGAUUCCGCCUGGGGAUGAGUCCGCCUCCUAUUAGCUAGUUGGCAGGGUAAUGGCCUACCAAGGCUACGAUGGGUACCGGGUGUGAGAGCACGACCCGGCUCACUGGGACUGAGACACUGCCCAGACACCUACGGGUGGCAG
This 320-nucleotide ribosomal RNA is filed under the name uncultured Planctomycetota bacterium. Its description in RNAcentral is "bacterial SSU rRNA". It matches the Rfam family "Bacterial small subunit ribosomal RNA", at positions 29 to 351 of the family's 1533-position model. The record is from RNAcentral. Lineage: Bacteria; Pseudomonadati; Planctomycetota.